Molecule: long non-coding RNA, 466 nt
Organism: Lolium perenne
Lineage: Eukaryota; Viridiplantae; Streptophyta; Magnoliopsida; Poales; Poaceae
Source: RefSeq, a predicted model, not a curated record
UUCUGCUGGUGUUCCUUUUGUGCUCCUUGUGCUCCUUGUGCUCCUUUCAAAAUUCACUGGUACACUGAAGUUAUGGCUGCAUGCUCGGAAUGCUCGCAACCCAGAAACUUGUGUACCCGGCCUUCUACAUAUUGUACAGAGUUUUCUAUCAAGAUGUUGCCAGAACAUUUCGAAGAAUAUUCUAUUCUCCCUUGCUGUUACUAUACAAGGAUUAAAUUUUUAUGCCCAUCAAAAAUAAUGAAAGCUGUAGAUAGACCAGCUCCCCAUUUGGACGCACCUGCUGAUGACUUUACAACACAUCAUCUAUUAUUGGAUGAUUGUGAUACAUACUUUUCCAUAGAAGGACCAUAUUAUUUGUCCUUGUUAGAAGCAUUUCGUAUCAAUGUUGGAGAUACAAUAAAAUUUAUAUGGGAUGAAGAUUACGACAUCUUUAAUGUCUCCAUUCUAGCCGGAAUAGAUCAGCCAA